UUUCGGGGUACACGAGCGGCGAACGGGUGAGUAACACGUGGGUGAUCUGCCCUGCACUCUGGGAUAAGCCUGGGAAACUGGGUCUAAUACCGGAUAUGACUGCAUGCCGCAUGGUGUGUGGUGGAAAGCUUUAUGUGGUGCAGGAUGGGCCCGCGGCCUAUCAGCUUGUUGGUGGGGUAAUGGCCUACCAAGGCGACGACGGGUAGCCGACCUGAGAGGGUGACCGGCCACACUGGGACUGAGACACGGCCCAGACUCCUACGGGAGGCAGCAGUGGGGAAUAUUGCACAAUGGGCGGAAGCCUGAUGCAGCGACGCCGCGUGAGGGAUGAAGGCCUUCGGGUUGUAAACCUCUUUCAGCAGGGACGAAGCGCAAGUGACGGUACCUGCAGAAGAAGCACCGGCUAACUACGUGCCAGCAGCCGCGGUAAUACGUAGGGUGCGAGCGUUGUCCGGAAUUACUGGGCGUAAAGAGUUCGUAGGCGGUUUGUCGCGUCGUUUGUG
RNAcentral lists this ribosomal RNA (503 nucleotides) under Rhodococcus sp. (in: high G+C Gram-positive bacteria). RNAcentral describes it as "bacterial SSU rRNA". It matches the Rfam family "Bacterial small subunit ribosomal RNA", at positions 80 to 596 of the family's 1533-position model. Lineage: Bacteria; Bacillati; Actinomycetota; Actinomycetes; Mycobacteriales; Nocardiaceae. The record is from RNAcentral.